Long non-coding RNA from Tigriopus californicus, 739 nucleotides. RefSeq lists it as uncharacterized. The transcript has 3 exons. NCBI's taxonomy places the organism in Eukaryota, Metazoa, Arthropoda, Copepoda, Harpacticoida, Harpacticidae. The record is from RefSeq and is a predicted model, not a curated record.
UCCAUCUAAAAUGUGAGAUUACCAAGUUGCCUUGACGGAGACGCCUUGACUCCCGAGGCUUGCAAUGACCUCAAAACGAAGCACAUGUGAUCUAUUGAAGACCCUGACUUUUCGGGCAUGGCGCUUUUCUACCUCGUCAAAGACGUCGGGUUUGGAAAUCCAACAAGAAGAGUGGCUCCAAAUUGAUGGCUUUGGAAAGUGCCACAUGGGCAUUUACAAGUAAUCGAGAACAAAUGAAACCCACAGAAAGUCUGGAGGUUGAAAUUCGGUUUAUGAACGGAAAGGGAUAAUCCCACAAGAACUUGAUUAUUGGUUCGUUUAAUUUGAACUCAAACGUAUUUGUACAAUUAAUCAUUGGAGGACGCAAAUAAUUAUUCAUAGCUAUAUGCCAACGUUUUAUCGAGCAAUGAGCUUCAUCCAAAUGUAUUUACAUAGAAUCAUGAUAGCGACUCCUUUUGGUUGUUGCACUGCAUCAAUAUCAAAGGUAUUAUUCAUUCGUAUUUGUUUCUUAUCAUGAAUAGACCAACCCGUUAGACCAUCGAUGAAUCAUCAUCUUCAUCAUUCAUCAAUAUCUGAUCGUUCUUGGAUUGUAACGCUUGAAAUAAUGUGAGAAGAACCGACAAAGAUAUAUGAUCAAUAUACAUGUGUGUAUAUAUACACACAGACAAAUAUGCCACUUCCUUGUAUUUUCGAUGCGCAAAUAAACAGAUCAAGCAGAUAUUAACUGUAUGGUUACAAG